GUGGAGCCGACCUUGAAAUACCACCCUUUAAUGUUUGAUGUUCUAACGUGGACCCGUUACCCGGGUUGCGGACAGUGUCUGGUGGGUAGUUUGACUGGGGCGGUCUCCUCCUAAAGAGUAACGGAGGAGCACGAAGGUUGGCUAAUCCUGGUCGGACAUCAGGAGGUUAGUGCAAUGGCAUAAGCCAGCUUGACUGCGAGCGUGACGGCGCGAGCAGGUGCGAAAGCAGGUCAUAGUGAUCCGGUGGUUCUGAAUGGAAGGGCCAUCGCUCAACGGAUAAAAGGUACUCCGGGGAUAACAGGCUGAUACCGCCCAAGAGUUCAUAUCGACGGCGGUGUUUGGCACCUCGAUGUCGGCUCAUCACAUCCUGGGGCUGAAGUAGGUCCCAAGGGUAUGGCUGUUCGCCAUUUAAAGUGGUACGCGAGCUGGGUUUAGAACGUCGUGAGACAGUUCGGUCCCUAUCUGCCGUGGGCGCUGGAGAACUGAGGGGGGCUGCUCCUAGUACGAGAGGACCGGAGUGGACGCAUCACUGGUGUUCGGGUUGUCAUGCCAAUGGCACUGCCCGGUAGCUAAAUGCGGAAGAGAUAAGUGCUGAAAGCAUCUAAGCACGAAACUUGCCCCGA
This 623-nucleotide ribosomal RNA is filed under the name Salmonella enterica. RNAcentral describes it as "partial 23S ribosomal RNA". It matches the Rfam family "Bacterial large subunit ribosomal RNA", at positions 2180 to 2802 of the family's 2925-position model. The record is from RNAcentral. Lineage: Bacteria; Pseudomonadati; Pseudomonadota; Gammaproteobacteria; Enterobacterales; Enterobacteriaceae.